UAGGGAAUAUUGCAUAAUGGGCGAAAGCCUGAUGCAGCAACGCCGCGUGUGCGAUGAAGGCCUUCGGGUCGUAAAGCACUUUUAGCGGGGAUGAGGAAGGACAGUACCCGCUGAAUAAGCUUCGGCUAACUACGUGCCAGCAGCCGCGGUAAAACGUAGGAAGCGAGCGUUAUCCGGAUUUACUGGGCGUAAAGCGCGUGUAGGCGGUCACGGAAGUUGGAUGUUAAAGCUCCUGGCUUAACUGGGAGAGGUCGUUCAAUACUCCGAGACUAGAGGAUGGGAGAGGGAAGCGGAAUUCCGGGUGUAGUGGUGAAAUGCGUAGAUAUCCGGAGGAACACCAGUGGCGAAAGCGGCUUCCUGGCCCAUAACUGACGCUCAGACGCGAAAGCUAGGGGAGCGAACGGG
This 405-nucleotide ribosomal RNA is filed under the name uncultured bacterium. RNAcentral describes it as "bacterial SSU rRNA". It matches the Rfam family "Bacterial small subunit ribosomal RNA", at positions 355 to 776 of the family's 1533-position model. The record is from RNAcentral.